Molecule: long non-coding RNA, 341 nt
Organism: Acanthaster planci (crown-of-thorns starfish)
Lineage: Eukaryota; Metazoa; Echinodermata; Asteroidea; Valvatida; Acanthasteridae
Source: RefSeq, a predicted model, not a curated record
CACAAUACAAGCAUUAGACAGGGAGGCGUCUUUUGUUACAAUGCACUGCACUGUGAUAAUCCAUCACACUAUUUGACCAACCACAGGCUAGAAUAUACAAGUAGAAUGGCCAAUGAUCUUGCCAUGUGCGAACAGCUCUUCCAUUCCCCCAUUCACUCACCAGCACGUGACCAAACUUUCUGGCACAGCUGCAUUUCAAGAUGGCUCCAUUCAUGGGGGACAUGUGAUCACAGUGAAGUUAUAUUAAAUCUUGACAGCAUGAGAGAGACUGACAAAUUUCUGAGAGGUUUCAAGGACUCAUCAACCAGGAUCCCCCCGAAGUGCUGGUGAGGAUGAGGUGA